Dorea sp. CAG:105 is the source of this 73-nucleotide transfer RNA. It matches the Rfam family "tRNA". Rfam says of the family: Transfer RNA (tRNA) molecules are approximately 80 nucleotides in length. The record is from Rfam. NCBI's taxonomy places the organism in Bacteria, Bacillati, Bacillota, Clostridia, Lachnospirales, Lachnospiraceae.
AAGGAAGCGGCGCAAUGGGUAGCGCAUAUGGCUGAUAACCAUAUUGUUGCGGGUUCGAGUUCUGUCUUCAUAA